Molecule: long non-coding RNA, 738 nt
Organism: Sapajus apella (tufted capuchin)
Lineage: Eukaryota; Metazoa; Chordata; Mammalia; Primates; Cebidae
Exons: 4
Source: RefSeq, a predicted model, not a curated record
CCUGGCGGUUACGCGCUCCGUCUCCUUCCGCCCCCGCGCGCGCCUGCCCUGCUCCGGCCGCCUCACCCUUUUCGGGGCGUUUGGGCAGCGCGCCUGUGGGGGCGAAGCCCGGAGCAAGCCACCGAGCCAAUGGGGCGCGGCGGAGCCUGAGUCGGACCCAGACGGGCGGCGGCGGCUGAGGUGGAAGCGGAAGGAGGCGGUGGCGACGGAGGGGGGAAGAUGGCGGCGCCCGUCCCGCUGAGAGUGUUGGUGCCGCGGUGGGAGCGGGUGGCCUGGUACGCCGUGUGUGCCUCCGGGAUCCUGCUGUCCAUCUACGCCGACCACGUGGAGCGGGAGAAGGAGCGGACCCCGAGCGCCGGGCCUUCUGCAACCUGGGGCCCUGGGUGAAGUGCCCCGCCGCCCUUGCCUCCAGGGGUCACGAGCAUCAGCAGUCCAGGAAAGGAAGCAAAGCAAAUGGUGAAUGACAUGCUGGUGACAGACAGUGCAGGGAGGCAACUACAGAGCUCAGCAGCUCCUCCUCUUGUAGGGGGACAUCAGCAGGCACCACAGUAGCACCGCAGAGCUGCAGAAAGCUGAAGCCAAGAAGGAGGAGACUUGGAAGCUGAUGGAGGCUGACAAGGCACAGACAGGGCAGAAAGAACCACUGGAAAGAUCACUCCUUUAAGAGCUUAUCCACUCUGAAUCACACCUCACCUUCAGAGAGAAGCUUAAGAAACACUGGGGAGGGGUGGCAGGCUG